ACUGGAAUCAGCAACUCCCUGGAACUCGGGCCUCUGGCCCCGUCCCUCUUUUCUCCGGCAGGGACGCAGGAUGCCUUGGUGCACUCUAGAGACGGGGACCGGAGGGUGCAGCGCGCCUGGGAGAAAAAUCAAGACGUUCCCUUCAGUCCUCCCUCGGUGUUAACGUCUGCUCCAGCUCGCAGCCCGCUGCUGGGCAUUUUAUUAAUGCUUUUACGAGUUAGAAGAGUUGGGAUAAUUUGCCAUCUGGAGUUUCUCUGCCUUGCUGAUCUGAGCUCAGACCUGCCAAUUUACCAGAGAUAAUUGAUAACACCCUGUAACAGCUGAGAGGAAAAUGGAAGAAACGGAGAUACUUUUAGUGAAGCAGAAUAAACCACUGAACAGGAAAAAUGAGGAAGCUGUGAGUACCAGUGGAAGGAACGAGCCAGGAAGAGGGACUGGAACCAUCUCAGAAGCCAUGCCCCUCAGGCUGGAACUUGCCCUGUCUCCUCGCAGAUGAGCUACCUCUUGUGUUUAAGAAUUAAAGGAAGAUGAGCUAGGAAUCAAGAAAUACGCAGAACUGAUUCCUGUCACUGGCGCCACCCUGCCACUUGCCCAGAGCUGUGGUAUAAAUUUUUUUAAUAGGCUGAAAUAAAAAUAUGAAUAGCAUUUUGGUAUUAAGCAUUAAAUUGAUAAAGGCUAUGAGAUACACCUGCUCUCAACCAUGUUAAUUUUUUAUUAUUGGUAUUAAUAAAUUAUUACUUACUAACAUAUUAACAAGAAUUGCAUUGAGAAACAAAGCAUCCACAGGCCAAAUCUUCUGAAUUUCAAAUGUUUAUAUUAAUGCGUUGUAUUCUAGAAAAGUAGAAUUGUCUUAAGUAGCUUUGUAAUAUAAAGUCAUCUAUCAGCCCAUUACACCUAUUAGAAUGUUUUAACCUUUAUUUCCCACUUUUUUGUUUCUAGACUGAGUGUACUUGGUCUGGUAUUUGUGGCAUAACUUACGGAACACAUAAGAAUGAUACAGAUACUAUUUAAUGAUGACCUAAUACAAGCUUAGAUAGCUAAGGUGAAAGCUUCUAUGGCCUUAACAUUUUCCUCUUGAAGAAUGUAUUUUCUGUAAUAAAAUACAGUGGCUACUUGAAAUCUAUAAACUUAUGUGAGGUCUGGAUAAAUCUGAGCAACUUUCUUCUUUGUGCUCCAGGAACCUACGCACUAUAUAUAUAAAUAAAGCUUAAGUAAACA
RNAcentral lists this long non-coding RNA (1218 nucleotides) under Homo sapiens (human). RNAcentral's name for it is "long intergenic non-protein coding RNA, p53 induced transcript". The record is from RNAcentral. Lineage: Eukaryota; Metazoa; Chordata; Mammalia; Primates; Hominidae.